RNAcentral lists this ribosomal RNA (266 nucleotides) under uncultured bacterium. Its description in RNAcentral is "partial 16S ribosomal RNA". It matches the Rfam family "Bacterial small subunit ribosomal RNA", at positions 88 to 353 of the family's 1533-position model. The record is from RNAcentral.
AUGGCGACCGGCGCACGGGUGAGUAACACGUAUCCAACCUGCCGAUGACUCGGGGAUAGCCUUUCGAAAGAAAGAUUAAUACCCGAUGGCAUAGUUCUUCCGCAUGGUGGAACUAUUAAAGAAUUUCGGUCAUCGAUGGGGAUGCGUUCCAUUAGGUUGUUGGCGGGGUAACGGCCCACCAAGCCUUCGAUGGAUAGGGGUUCUGAGAGGAGGGUCCCCCACAUUGGAACUGAGACACGGUCCAAACUCCUACGGGAGGCAGCAUG